Molecule: ribosomal RNA, 241 nt
Filed under: uncultured bacterium
Lineage: Bacteria
Description: partial 16S ribosomal RNA
Rfam family: Bacterial small subunit ribosomal RNA
Source: RNAcentral
GUCCUGGCUCAGGAUGAACGCUGGCGGCGUGCUUAACACAUGCAAGUCGAGCGAAGCACUUAGGAAAGAUUCUUCGGAUGAUUUCCUAUUUGACUGAGCGGCGGACGGGUGAAGGUAACGCGUGGGUAACCUGCCUCAUACAGGGGGGAUAACAGUUAGAAAUGACUGCUAAUACCGCAUAAGGCCACAGCACCGCAUGGUGCAGGGGUAAAAACUCCGGUGGUAUGAGAUGGACCCGCGU